RNAcentral lists this ribosomal RNA (472 nucleotides) under uncultured bacterium. RNAcentral describes it as "bacterial SSU rRNA". It matches the Rfam family "Bacterial small subunit ribosomal RNA", at positions 335 to 798 of the family's 1533-position model. The record is from RNAcentral.
ACUCCUACGGGAGGCAGCAGUGGGGAAUAUUGCACAAUGGGGGAAACCCUGAUGCAGCCAUGCCGCGUGUGUGAAGAAGGCCUUCGGGUUGUAAAGCACUUUCAGUAGGGAGGAAGGUAGUGUAGUUAACACCUGCAUUAUUUGACGUUACCUACAGAAGAAGCACCGGCUAACUCCGUGCCAGCAGCCGCGGUAAUACGGAGGGUGCGAGCGUUAAUCGGAAUUACUGGGCGUAAAGCGCAUGCAGGCGGUUUGUCGCGUCUGCUGUGAAAACCUGGGGCUUAACCCUGGGCCUGCAGUGGGUACGGGCAGACUAGAGUGCAGUAGGGGAGACUGGAAUUCCUGGUGUAGCGGUGGAAUGCGCAGAUAUCAGGAGGAACACCGGUGGCGAAGGCGGGUCUCUGGGCUGUAACUGACGCUGAGGAGCGAAAGCAUGGGGAGCGAACAGGAUUAGAUACCCUGGUAGCGUCGU